GACGAACGCUGGCGGCGUGCUUAACACAUGCAAGUCGAACGGAAAGGCCCUGCUUGCAGGGUACUCGAGUGGCGAACGGGUGAGUAACACGUGGGUGAUCUGCCCUGCACUUCGGGAUAAGCCUGGGAAACUGGGUCUAAUACCGGAUAGGAGCCAUUUUUAGUGUGAUGGUUGGAAAGUUUUUUCGGUGUAGGAUGAGCUCGCGGCCUAUCAGCUUGUUGGUGGGGUAAUGGCCUACCAAGGCGGCGACGGGUAGCCGGCCUGAGAGGGUGGACGGCCACAUUGGGACUGAGGGACGGCCCAGACUCCUACGGGAGGCAUCAGUGGGGAAUAUUGCACAAUGGGCGCAAGCCUGAUGCAGCGACGCCGCGUGGGGGAUGACGGCCUUCGGGUUGUAAACUCCUUUCGCUAGGGACGAAGCUUUUUGUGACGGUACCUAGAUAAGAAGCACCGGCUAACUACGUG
RNAcentral lists this ribosomal RNA (465 nucleotides) under uncultured bacterium. Its description in RNAcentral is "partial 16S ribosomal RNA". It matches the Rfam family "Bacterial small subunit ribosomal RNA", at positions 28 to 507 of the family's 1533-position model. The record is from RNAcentral.